CUCGGCAGACGGGUGAGUAAUAACGAGGAACUUUCCUCCAAGUGGAGCAUACCUCCGAGAAAUCGGAAAUAAUUCCCCAUAAUACCGCAAGGUUAAAGAUUUAUCGCUUGGAGAGAGGCUUCGUUCCUAUCAGCUUGUUGGUGAGGUAAUGGCUCACCAAGGCGACGACGGGUAGCUGGUCUAAGAGGACGAUCAGCCACAAGGGAACUGAGACACGGUCCCUACUCCUACGGGAGGCAGCAGUUGGGAAUAUUGCGCAAUGGACGAAAGUCUGACGCAGCGACGCCGCGUGAUCGAUGAAGUCUUUCGGGAUGUAAAGAUCUCUUCUCUGGGAAGAUUAUGACGGUACCAGAGGAAUAAGCAUCGGCUAACUACGUGCCAGCAGCCGCGGUAAUACGUAGGAUGCGAGCGUUAUCCGGAAUUAUUGGGCGUAAAGGGCUUGUAGGCGGUUUUAUAAGUUUUCAAUUAAAUCUUGAGGCUCAACCUCAAAAUCUUUGAAAAUACUGUAAGACUAGAGGAUAAUCGGGGUAAAUGGAAUUCCCGGUGUAGCAGUGAAAUGCGUUGAUAUCGGGAGGAACACCAAUGGCGAAGGCAGUUUACUAGGUUAUAUCUGACGCUGAGGAGCGAAAGCGUGGGUAGCGAAAAGGAUUAGAUACCCUUGUAGUCCACGCUGUAAACAAUGGACACUAGU
This 691-nucleotide ribosomal RNA is filed under the name uncultured bacterium. RNAcentral's name for it is "bacterial SSU rRNA". It matches the Rfam family "Bacterial small subunit ribosomal RNA", at positions 94 to 820 of the family's 1533-position model. The record is from RNAcentral.